This is a long non-coding RNA of Xyrauchen texanus (razorback sucker), 1023 nucleotides long. RefSeq lists it as uncharacterized. Lineage: Eukaryota; Metazoa; Chordata; Actinopteri; Cypriniformes; Catostomidae. The transcript is spliced from 3 exons. The record is from RefSeq and is a predicted model, not a curated record.
UGUCAAGAUUUAUAGUAGAGGUAUAUUUGUUUUGGUCUGUUCUCACCCAAAAUCAUGAAAACAUUUGCUUCAGAACACAUUUAUUAAACUACUGGAGUCUUAUGGUUACAAUUAAGCUUUUUCUGUCUUUUUCAGAACUCCUAUUCACUUGCAUUUUAUGGGUGUAUUCACAUCAUACGUCCAUCAAAAUAUAAGUCACAUGACUUAAAAGCAGUAAUGUUUAGAUAAUUGGGCAAAGUUCUGAUAUUCUGAUACAUCUACAAAGAUUUUAUGAUGCUCAGUGUUAUGUGUAUUGUUUUUAAUCUAUCAAUAUUCUGCUUCACAGGUGCCAAAGGCUCCAUCCAAGUCUUCUCUGUCUGGUUCUGCCAAAGUAAGUAUUUUUUUUUCACCUUGCAAAAAUACAUUGUGCAGUUACAUCAGUGUCAUUGCUUUGUUAAUUCUUAAUAAAGUGUGUAAAUGUUUGUAGGUAAGCUCUUCUGUCUGUAAACUGUCCGUCUGUAAUAACAUUUAAUUUUAUUAUUUUUUUGUCAUUUUUACUUUUAUUAGUGUUGCAGUGAUGCUAAUUAUGUAAGUACUUUUUGCUGAGGAUUUAGGUCUGUACAUACAGAUUUGUUAUGCAUUUCUGUGAUGGAUGAAAUGGUUGAAUAAAAACUUAAGUUGAGUUUUAAAUAAUUUAUUUGAAAAUAAUCUAUAUUGUAAAUCUCUUUUUAUGUGAUCACAACCACAGGUGGAGUUAGCACAUGGCACAGGUAUAACCAUUCUAAAGCAUCGAUGGACUUCUGCCGUGCAGACCCAAACAGCCACUUCAAUGGUACAUGUAAUGGCCUCCUUCCCACUGGAGAUUCUGAUCCACAGCAAUUUGAAAGGAGGAAUGAGUAAAACUGACUGUGGUGCAGAGAGAAGGAAUGCCCUUGACAAGGACACCAUGGCAGCAAUAUAUGUGGCAGUGAAGAAGUUUCCCAAUGUGUCCAGAGGAGCUUUGGGGUUUGCAGUGAAUUCUAAGAUGGGGGAACUGAGAUGGCU